UGUCUUAAAAGUUGAGUUCAUAUAAAAUACAUUUAUACAAUUUGUUCUAUUGAUGUGAAAGCACUGUAUUGUUUAUGAAGUAAGCAUUGUUCCAAGGAUUUUUUUUUUUCCAUUUCCCUUCCUGGAUCCAAUUCUUUGCUUACGAUUCUCUGUUUCGUCAUGCAUAAAUUGUGCAAGGACCUGCCAUGGCUGUCUGCUUUAAUCCCAAACCUACAACCUAUAUGCCUGACAGACCUCCAGCCAUGGAAGCUUUAUGUUGUUGCUUUCUCUUUGGAUGACUGCUGCAACUACAACCCCUCUGUGAUAUGAUUCUGGGCUGAGAUCCUGCAUCAGCAAUAACUUAUAUUAUAUUGUUGAAGAAGGUGAUCUUGUUUGUCAUUUGCAGCCAUGGAAGCUUUAUGCUGUUGCUUUCUCUUUGGAUGACUGCCGCAACUACAACCCCUCUGUGAUAUGAUUCUUGGCUGAGAUCCUGCAUCAGCAAUAACUUAUAUUAUAUUAUAUAUUAUGCUGAUGGGAAUUAACAAAUCUGUAUUUUAAUGUGUAUCAAAAAGUGAAAAUGAAAAGAAGGCUUAGAGAGUCACAUGUUAAGCUAUCAACAACAAAGCUGUGGAUCAUGUGAUUGACCCAUUGAUCAUGAUAAAAGACGACUAAUAUAUAUAUGGAAAGGAACACUUGUUGACACCUUAAUGCCUAACUUUAGAUCCACAUACACCAUCCAAUCAUUUUAGACUGUAAAAGGGGGGCGGGGGGGGCAUAAAUGGCUUGAUGGCUUAACACUUUGUAGUAGGUGGCUCCAACACAAU
This is a long non-coding RNA of Gossypium raimondii (Peruvian cotton), 803 nucleotides long. RefSeq lists it as uncharacterized. The transcript has 3 exons. Lineage: Eukaryota; Viridiplantae; Streptophyta; Magnoliopsida; Malvales; Malvaceae. The record is from RefSeq and is a predicted model, not a curated record.